GAUGAAGAACGUAGCGAAAUGCGAUACGUAGUGUGAAUUGCAGAAUUCAGUGAAUCAUCGAAUCUUUGAACGCACAUUGCACCUCUCGGUAUUCCGGGAGGUAUGCCUGUUCGAGCGUCAUUUGUACCCUCAAGCUCUGCUUGGUGUUGGGUGUUUGUUCCGCCUCUGUGUGUGAACUCGCCUCAAAACAAUUGGCAGCCGGCGUACUUGUUUCGGAGCGCAGCACAUUUUGCGAUCCAGAUCAACGUACAGCGGCAUCCAAGAAGCCUUAUUUAACGCUCUUGACCUCGGAUCAGGUAGGGAUACCCGCUGAACUUAAGCAUAUCAAUGCGGAGGA
Molecule: unclassified non-coding RNA, 337 nt
Filed under: soil metagenome
Description: partial contains 5.8S ribosomal RNA, internal transcribed spacer 2, and large subunit ribosomal RNA
Rfam family: 5.8S ribosomal RNA (bases 1-120)
Source: RNAcentral